UACUAACUCUGGCGGCGUGCCUAAUACAUGCAAGUUGAGCGAUGAAGAUUGGUGCUUGCACCAAUUUGAAGAGCAGCGAACGGGUGAGUAACGCGUGGGGAAUCUGCCUUUGAGCGGGGGACAACAUUUGGAAACGAAUGCUAAUACCGCAUAACAACUUUAAACAUAAGUUUUAAGUUUGAAAGAUGCAAUUGCAUCACUCAAAGAUGAUCCCGCGUUGUAUUAGCUAGUUGGUGAGGUAAAGGCUCACCAAGGCGAUGAUACAUAGCCGACCUGAGAGGGUGAUCGGCCACAUUGGGACUGAGACACGGCCCAAACUCCUACGGGAGGCAGCAGUAGGGAAUCUUCGGCAAUGGACGAAAGUCUGACCGAGCAACGCCGCGUGAGUGAAGAAGGUUUUCGGAUCGUAAAACUCUGUUGGUAGAGAAGAACGUUGGUGAGAGUGGAAAGCUCAUCAAGUGACGGUAACUACCCAGAAAGGGAAGGAUAAAUACGUG
Molecule: ribosomal RNA, 497 nt
Filed under: uncultured bacterium
Lineage: Bacteria
Description: partial 16S ribosomal RNA
Rfam family: Bacterial small subunit ribosomal RNA
Source: RNAcentral